GAAGCAAGACACGUUAAAUCAUA
Molecule: non-coding RNA, 23 nt
Filed under: Arabidopsis thaliana (thale cress)
Lineage: Eukaryota; Viridiplantae; Streptophyta; Magnoliopsida; Brassicales; Brassicaceae
Source: RNAcentral